RNAcentral lists this ribosomal RNA (479 nucleotides) under uncultured bacterium. RNAcentral describes it as "partial 16S ribosomal RNA". It matches the Rfam family "Bacterial small subunit ribosomal RNA", at positions 28 to 507 of the family's 1533-position model. The record is from RNAcentral.
GAUGAACGCUGGCGGCGUGCUUAACACAUGCAAGUUGAGCGAAGCGCUUACGACAGAACCUUCUGGGGAAGAUGUAAGGGACUGAGCGGCGGACGGGUGAGUAACGCGUGGGUAACCUGCCUCAUACAGGGGGAUAACAGUUGGAAACGGCUGCUAAUACCGCAUAAGCGCACAGUAUCGCAUGAUACGCUGUGGAAAACGCGGGGGGUAUGAGAUGGACCCGCGGCGGAUUAGCUGGUUGGCGGGGGAACGGCCCACCAAGGCGAGGAUCAGGAGCCGGCCGGAGAGGGGGACCGGUCACGUCGGGAAUGCGACACGGACCAGAAUCGUACGCGAGGGAGCAGUGGGGAAUAUUGCAGAAUGGGGGAAAACGUGACGACGCCACGCCGCGGGAAGGAAGAAGUAUGUCGGUAUGUAAACUUCUAUCAGCAGGGAAGAAAAUGACGGUACCUGACUAAGAAGCCCCGGCUAACUACGUG